CAAUAGCGUAUAUUAAAGUUGUUGCAGUUAAAAAGCUCGUAGUUGGAUUUCUGGUAGGAGCGACCGUGCCGAACUUGAUUGUUCGAGUAUUGUGUUGUCUUCAGCCAUCCUCGUGGAGAACUUUUCUAACAUUAACUUGUUGGGAUUGGGACCCGCGUCGUUUACUGUGAAAAAAUUAGAGUGUUUAAAGCAGGCAUUAGCUUGAAUACAUUAGCAUGGAAUAAUAAGAUAGGACUUUGGUACUAUUUUGUUGGUUUGCAUACCAAAUUAAUGAUCAACAGGAACAGUUUGAGGAUAUUCGUAUGAACAUGUCAGAGGUGAAAUUCUUGGAUUUUGAUCAGACGAGCUACUGCGAAAGCAUUUAUCAAGGAUGUUUUCAUUAA
This 383-nucleotide ribosomal RNA is filed under the name uncultured eukaryote. RNAcentral describes it as "partial 18S ribosomal RNA". It matches the Rfam family "Eukaryotic small subunit ribosomal RNA", at positions 592 to 976 of the family's 1831-position model. The record is from RNAcentral.